This 27-nucleotide small RNA is filed under the name Bombyx mori (domestic silkworm). RNAcentral's name for it is "ovarian small RNA-15675". Lineage: Eukaryota; Metazoa; Arthropoda; Insecta; Lepidoptera; Bombycidae. The record is from RNAcentral.
GAGAAUGCUAGUGAGACGGUUGAGAUG